RNAcentral lists this long non-coding RNA (2115 nucleotides) under Homo sapiens (human). RNAcentral describes it as "non-protein coding lnc-RGS7-10:1". The record is from RNAcentral. Lineage: Eukaryota; Metazoa; Chordata; Mammalia; Primates; Hominidae.
AAACAUGAUCAAUGAGGUGCCAAACAUUUUGAGACAUCUGGGGUCUGUAGAACUAGUCCUUAUAGGACAGUUCUAUGAGAUAAUGCAAUACCAACAAUAUUUGCUCUUACUGGUCAUUUGAACAACCCACCUAGUAGACCCAGAAAACGAAUAAAAGAAUUGUUGAUGAAACUUCUGAACAGGAACAAAAACAUAAAGAAACCAACAACAGCAAUGCUCCGAACCCCAGUAAAGAAGGGAGUGAAGGGCCAGAUGAGGACAUUUUACCUCUAACCCUUGAAAAGAAGGAAAACAAAGGAUACCUAAAAUCUCUGUUUGAAAUCUUGAUUCUGAUGGGAAAGCAAAACAUACCUCUUGAUGGACAGGAGGCUGAUGAAAUCCCAGAAGGUCUCUUUACUCCAGAUAACGUGCAAGCCGUGCUGGAGUGCUGGAUAAAUUCUGGUCAAGAGGUCCUGAGAAAGCAGUUUGAGACAACAGCAGUUAACAUGUUGUUUUAUUAAAAACACAGCAGAGGCAGAUGCUAGAGAUCUGUGAGAGCUGCAUUCGGGAAGAAUGCAGGGAAGUGAGAGACUCACACUUCUUUUCCAUUAUAACUGACGAUGUAGCGGACAUGGCAGGGGAAGGGCACCUACCUAUGUUGGUGAGAUUUGUUGAUGAGUCUCGGUGAGGUUUGUUGAUGAGUCUCAAAACAUAAGAGGGGAAUUUGUAGGCUUCCUGCCUUAUGAAGCUGAUGCAGAAGUUUUGGCUGUGAAAUUUCACACUAUGAUAGCUGAGAAAUGGGGAUUAAAUAUGGAGUACUGUCAUGACCAAGCUUACAUUUUGUCUACUGGAUUUUCUUCCAAAAUGAAAGUUGUUGCUUCUAGACUUUUAGAGAAAUAUCCCCAAGCUAUCUACCCACUCUGCUCUUCCUGCGUCUUAAAUAUGUGGUUGGUAAAAUCAGUACCUGUUAUGGGAGUAUCUGUUGCAUCAGGAACAAUUGACGGAGUUUGUUCUUUUUUUCCAUCAAUCACCACAACUGCUUUUAGAAUUUGACAAUGUAAUUUCUGUUCUUUUUCAGAACAGUAAAGAAAGGGACAAAGAACUGAAGGAACUCUGCCAUUCUCAGUGGACAGGCAGGCAUGAUGUUUUUGAAAUUGUAGUGGAACUUCUGCAAGCAUUUGUUUUAUGUUUAGAUGAUAUAAAUAGUGACACAAAUAUUAGAUGGAAUAACUGUAGCUGGCUGAGCAUUUGUACUCUGCAGUGCAGUAACAGAUUUUGACUUCAUUGUUACUAUUGUUGUUCUUAAAAAUGUCCUAUCUUUUACCAGAGCCUUUGGGAAAAAUCUCCAGGGGCAAACCUUUGAUGUCUUCUUUGCAGCCAGUAGCUUGACUGCAGCACUGCGUUCACUCAGUGAAGUGACGGAGAAUAUUGAAGUUUAUCAGGAAUUUUGAUUUGAGGAAGCCACAAAUUUGGCAACCAAACUUGAUAUUCAAAUGAAACUCCCUGGGAAAUAUUGCAGAGCUUACCAGCGUAACUUGGAAUCUCAGCUAACCUCUGAGAGUUACUAUAAAGAAAUCCUAAGUGUCCCAACAGUGGAGCACAUUAUUCAGGAACUUAAAGAUAUAAUCGCAGAACAGCACCUCCAAGCUCGUAAAUGCUUAUCUCUGGUACCCUCAGUCAUGGGACAACUCAAAUUCAAUACAUCGGAGGAACACCAUGCUGACAUGUAUAGAAAUGACUUACCCAAUCCCGACAUGCUCUCAGCCGAGCUUCAUUGUUGGAGAAUCAAAUGGAAAUGGGGAAAGACACAGAGCUUCUGUCCACCAUUUAUGAAGCCCUCCAUCUGCCUGACAUCAAGUUUUUUCCUAAUGUGUAUGCUAAAUGACCUAUUGCCAAAGGUCCUGUGUAUUUCUCCUGUGAUGAAGGUUGAGAAUGAGCAGUAUGAAAAUGGACGAAAGCAUCUUAAAGCAUACUUGAGGAACACUUUGACAGACCAAAGGUCAAGUAACUUGGCUUAGAUUAACAUAAAUUUUGAUAUAAAACAUGACCUGGAUUUAUUGGUGGACACAUAUAUUAAACUCUGUAACAGUAAGUCAGAGCUUCCCACAGAUAAUUCAGAAACCAUGGAAAAUACCU